GCAAACUUGGUCAUUUAGAGGAAGUAAAAGUCGUAACAAGGUUUCCGUAGGUGAACCUGCGGAAGGAUCAUUACAGUGCCAGCGGGUCUAGGUGACCGGCGUCCGUGAAACCGGGCUGCCGUGUCACCCCCGCGCCAGGCCCACACUUGUCUACUUACCGCGUUGCCUCGGCGGGUCAGCCGCUAAGCCGGCGGCCGGGGGGCCCCUAGCCCUCUGGUCAGCGCCCGCCCGGGGACCGUUCAAACCACUGUUUUCAGCGAAUGCAGUCUGAGCGAUAAAUAUUUUAAUGAAAUUAAAACUUUCAACAAUGGAUCUCUUGGUUCCGGCAUCGAUGAAGAACGCAGC
Molecule: unclassified non-coding RNA, 345 nt
Filed under: uncultured fungus
Lineage: Eukaryota; Fungi
Description: partial contains small subunit ribosomal RNA, internal transcribed spacer 1, and 5.8S ribosomal RNA
Rfam family: Eukaryotic small subunit ribosomal RNA (bases 1-73)
Source: RNAcentral